Molecule: RNA transcript, 1112 nt
Organism: Alnus glutinosa
Lineage: Eukaryota; Viridiplantae; Streptophyta; Magnoliopsida; Fagales; Betulaceae
Exons: 5
Source: RefSeq, a predicted model, not a curated record
CUUCCGUCAAAACCGGUUGGGGGGAAAUGAAAAAUUUCAUUUCCCCCCAACGCUGAACGCACCCUCCCUCUCUCUCUCUGAAUUCUCUCCGUACAGUCCCCGUCCCAAAUCGGCCUCCGGCGUCCGUCCCCGGUCCUUCACCGGAGUUAUCCUCCUCCGUCCGUCGGAAACUGCCGCCCCCAGCCCCUCUCUCUCUCCCGCUCGCUCCGGACCGCCGCCCGCAGCCCUCUCUGUCUCUGGCCGGAUCUGCCUGCUCCGUCCGUCGGAAACUGCCGCCCGUAGCCCCUCUCUCUCGCCCGCUCGCUCCGGUUUCGGUCGUCCCUGUCCCUGUCCCUGUCCCUCCGCUAGAGCAGGGUAAAAAACAAGGUACAAGAUGCCUGUUUGCAGCUUGGACAGAGUUCAUUGGAACUGCUACUGCUUCUCCACCAGUUUCAGUAGAUGUUGCCAGGCAGGUUCCAGUAGAUGUUGCGGGCAGAUGGUCAAAACACUGGGAACUUUGUUCAUUAUGCAUUUGAUUUUAUAGCUUUUAGAUUCUGAAUUAAUUGAAAACAAUGGCAGAAGGCAAAGAUUACUGUGAGCGUAAAUUCAACUUGCUGAGAUCUAUCUUUGAUCAACUUGUUGAGGAUGCUUGUCUAUGAGUAUGUAAGCAAUGGGAAUUUGGAGCAGUGGCUUCAUGGGGAUGUAAGGCCUUGCAGCCCUCCUACUUGGGAGAUUCGGAUGAAUAUCAUCCUUGGAACAGCAAAAGGGCUAGCUUACCUUCACGAGGGACUGGAACCCAAAGUUGUUCACCGCGAUAUAAAAUCGAGUAACAUUUUAGUUGAUAAGCUGUGGAAUGCAAAGGUUUCAGAUUUUGGCCUUGCCAAGCUCCUCGGCUCAGAGAGUAGCUACAUUACAACCCGUGUCAUGGGAACAUUUGGGUAUGUAGGGCUGUGUCUAUAUAUGAGUCUGCGUGCCAGUGUGGCUAAAGAGGCAACAACAGUCAUGUAGGGCUGUGUCUAUAUAUGUUCCCAUGUUGCUUUUUUAAUUAAAAAGCCAAGAAUUUUCAGGUCAACUUAGUUGAGUGGCUUAAGAAUAUGGUCGCUAACAGAAAUCCAGAAGAUUUUUUUUGUUUU